RNA transcript from Pan troglodytes (chimpanzee), 3169 nucleotides. It is a transcript of the gene named basal body orientation factor 1, with no coding region annotated. The record is from RefSeq and is a predicted model, not a curated record. The transcript has 13 exons. NCBI's taxonomy places the organism in Eukaryota, Metazoa, Chordata, Mammalia, Primates, Hominidae.
UCCGCGCGCCGUCAGCGGCGCGGGCGGGGCAUUGCCAGCUCGGCGUCCCGGUUCCCUUGGAGACAGAGCCGGCCAGGGCGGCCGCGGCUGGGCAACUACGACAGCGGAGCCCCUGGGGAAGCCAAGAUGCCGUCGAAGGGAAAGGACAAAAAGAAAGGCAAGAGCAAAGGCAAAGACACGAAGAAGUUAAUAAAAACAGAUGAAUCUGUGGUGGACAGAGCCAAGGCCAAUGCCUCCCUUUGGGAGGCCAGGUUGGAAGUCACAGAACUCUCUAGGAUUAAGUAUCGUGAUACUUCACGGAUACUGGCAAAAAGUAAUGAGGACUUAAAGAAAAAGCAAUGUAAAAUGGAGAAAGACAUAAUGUCAGUAUUAAGUUACCUGAAGAAGCAGGAUCAGGAGAAAGAUAAUAUGAUUGAAAAACUGAAACAGCAAUUAAAUGAAACAAAGGAAAAAGCCCAAGAGGAGAAGGAUAAAUUGGAACAAAAGUAUACCAGGCAAAUUAAUGAACUAGAGGGACAGUUCCAUCAAAAAGCCAAAGAAAUUGGCAUGAUUCACACAGAGCUGAAAGCAGUAAGACAAUUCCAGAAGAGAAAAAUCCAAGUGGAGAGAGAGUUAGAUGAUCUGAAAGAGAAUUUAAGAAACACAGAGCGGAUACAUCAGGAGACUCUUAGAAGACUGGAAAGCAGAUUUUUUGAAGAAAAGCACCGACUAGAACAAGAGGCUGAAAAGAAGAUAAUAAUGCUAGCAGAGAGAGCCCACCAUGAGGCUAUUGUGCAAUUGAACGAUGCUGGAAGAAAUGUUUUUAAAGAGAAUGUUUAUCUCCAGAAAGCUCUGGCAUAUCACCUGAAGGAAACUGACGCUCUACAAAAAAACUCCCAGAAGUUGCAAGAGAGUCAUACUUUACUUUUACAUCAAAAGGAGAUCAAUGAUCUGUUGGUUAAGGAAAAGAUUAUGCAACUUGUCCAGCAGAGAUCACAAAUCCAAACCCUUCAGAAGAAGGUAGUAAACUUGGAGACUGCUCUGAGUUACAUGACCAAAGAGUUUGAGAGUGAAGUUUUAAAACUGCAGCAACACGCAAUGAUAGAGAACCAAGCAGGUCAGGUAGAAAUUGACAAGCUGCAGCACCUUCUUCAGAUGAAGGACAGGGAAAUGAAUCGUGUGAAGAAGCUGGCCAAGAACAUACUGGAUGAGAGAACAGAAGUGGAAAGAUUCUUUUUAGAUGCUCUGCACCAAGUGAAGCAACAGAUCCUAAUUAGCAGGAAGCAUUAUAAGCAGAUAGCACAAGCUGCUUUCAAUUUAAAAAUGAGAGCAGCAUGUACAGGAAGAACAGAAUAUCCCAAAAUCAGAACAUUUGAUGGCAGAGAGCACAGCACCAAUAGUGUGAAUCAGGAUCUUCUGGAGGCCGAAAAAUGGCUGGAGCACAGUGGCGCGAUCUCAGCUUACUGCAGCCUCCGCCUCCUGGGUUCAAGCGAUUCUCCUGCCUCAGCCUCCCGAGUAGCUGGGAUUACAGACAGCUGCCACCAUGCCCGGCUAAUUUUUGUAUUUUUAGUAGAGACGAGUUUUCAUCACAUUGUCCAGGCUGGUCUCGAACUCCUGACCUCAGAUGAUCCACCCACCUCGGCCUCCCAAAGUGCUGGGAUUACAGGACACAUAUUGAAGGAAAUGUGGAUAUUGGAGAUUUGACCUGGGAGCAGAAGGAAAAAGUAUUGCGAUUGCUCUUUGCAAAAAUGAAUGGCUGUCCUUCUAGGAAAUACAACCAGAGUUCUAGGCCUCCAGUUCCAGACUAUGUUGUUUCUGACAGUGGGGAAACAAAGGAAUUUGGGGAUGAAAGUAAGCUUCAAGAUAAAAUCUUCAUCACCCAGCAAAUUCCAAUAUCAGACUCUUCUGGUAAAGUGGUGCUACCCAGUAUUCCAAAAGAACCUCAAGAGUCUGACACAGGAACCUUCUGAGAAGCACUGAUUAUGACCUCACAGAUGCUGCUGGCAGUCCCUUCCUUGCAGAAUCCUUGCUCCUGAAUAUCUUUAAGAAAAUUUCUUAAAGGAAAAGACAAAAAAUUUAACUCAAAAGUUACCUGUUUGCCAUAGAAAUUGGUGUCUCCCCUGAAGGAGGAUCGAGAGCCGGUGAAUGAGAACAUUGGCAAAGGCACUGGAAUGGGGACAUUCACUCCCACCUAAAACAGAACAAAUCCGUGUCAUAUCCUAAGGACAAAGGAACUCUCCAUUUAGAAACACAAAGGCAUCAGAGACCAGUUUUAAAUACCCACCUUCUACCCUAUCCUCUACCCCAUGAACUUUCAUUCCUGAGGAAGAAAUGGGGCAAUGUGGGAGGUCAUGGGGGCAAUCUUAAACCAAUGACUCACCAUUAUUUACUGUUUCCUCUUAGGAAAUAGUAAAUGGAUAUAAGAAUCUCUUAAAAAUAAUGUUCACGAACCUGUCCAACAUCCACCAAGUGGGCAUAUUUCCGAGCAGUGGCUCCAUUGGUGGUGAAGAUGGCAGUUCCAUUUCCAUAUGGGUUGUUAUUUACAAUCUGGAUGGCUUCAUCCAAUGUUUCUGUCUCCAGAACCACAAGAACUGGACCAAAAAUCUCCUCUUUGUAACAGGUCAUAUUUGGCUGCCAGGAGUGAUGCAUCCAGAAAAGAAGUCAGCUUUUUGGAUUCUGAGUAUUUUAUGCUUAUUUGGUACUUUCACUUACUACACAUCAUUUACGUGGACAACUUUCAUAUUACUAAUCUCUUUUCAUUUCAAAUCACCUAUUUUAAAAAAAAGUCCUCUCUCAAGUGUAUUCCAUCUUCCAAGUUACCAAUCAUAUAAACAAUUUGGAAUUCCUAUCAACAAUAACCACACUUCCUUUAAGGGACUGUAUCUUUAGUUCAUGACCCAUCAUCAGCUGCCUUUUUAAUACCUGAACGACUAGUUUCAUCCAAUUGUUAUCAAAAAGUUACAUGAAAAUUUAUUUUUUAUAAAUCCAAUCUAUAGUAAAUAUACCAGGAUAAUUUUUCUCUUUACAGAAACCCCAUGCUGUUUUCUGUAACAUAAACAAUCCAUUCUUAUUCACUCCUUUGCCUCCCAAAUAUGUCUGUAUGUUUAUAUUUUGAUAUCAGGUCGCAGACACUCAAAACAUCCUUCACCACGCAAUUAAUGUUUGUUGCUGAUAAACGGAUUUUUCUGUA